RNAcentral lists this ribosomal RNA (217 nucleotides) under Staphylococcus chromogenes. RNAcentral describes it as "partial 23S ribosomal RNA". It matches the Rfam family "Bacterial large subunit ribosomal RNA", at positions 1209 to 1429 of the family's 2925-position model. Lineage: Bacteria; Bacillati; Bacillota; Bacilli; Caryophanales; Staphylococcaceae. The record is from RNAcentral.
GUCCUUUAGGACAAUGGUAGGAGAGCGUUCUAAGGGCGUUGAAGCAUGAUCGCAAGGACAUGUGGAGCGCUUAGAAGUGAGAAUGCCGGGGUGAGUAGCGAAAGACGGGUGAGAAUCCCGUCCACCGAUUGACUAAGGUUUCCAGAGGAAGGCUCGUCCGCUCUGGGUUAGUCGGGUCCUAAGCUGAGGCCGACAGGCGUAGGCGAUGGAUAACAGG